AUUGAACGCUGGCGGCAGGCUUAACACAUGCAAGUCGAGCGGAGAUGAGGUGCUUGCACCUUAUCUUAGCGGCGGACGGGUGAGUAAUGCUUAGGAAUCUGCCUAUUAGUGGGGGACAACAUUCCGAAAGGAAUGCUAAUACCGCAUACGUCCUACGGGAGAAAGCAGGGGAUCUUCGGACCUUGCGCUAAUAGAUGAGCCUAAGUCGGAUUAGCUAGUUGGUGGGGUAAAGGCCUACCAAGGCGACGAUCUGCAGCGGGUCUGAGAGGAUGAUCCACCACACUGGGACUGAGACACGGCCCAGAAUCCUCAGGGGGGCAGCAGUGGGGGAUAUUGGACAAUGGGGGAGACCCUGAUCCAGCCAUGCCGCGUGUGUGAAGAAGGCCUUAUGGUGGUAAAGCACUUUAAGCGAGGAGGAGGCUACUGAGACUAAUACUCUUGGAUAGUGGACGUUACUCGCAGAAUAAGCACCGGCUAACUCUGUGGCAGCAGCCGCGGUAA
This 501-nucleotide ribosomal RNA is filed under the name uncultured bacterium. Its description in RNAcentral is "partial 16S ribosomal RNA". It matches the Rfam family "Bacterial small subunit ribosomal RNA", at positions 30 to 523 of the family's 1533-position model. The record is from RNAcentral.